UACAGAGGUCUCAAGCGUUGUUCGGAUUCAUUGGGCGUAAAGGGUGCGUAGGUGGCGCCAUAAGUCGGGUGUGAAAUCUCGGGGCUUAACUCCGAAACUGCAUUCGAUACUGUGGUGCUUGAGGACUGGAGAGGAGACUGGAAUUCAUGGUGUAGCAGUGAAAUGCGUAGAGAUCAUGAGGAAGACCAGUGGCGAAGGCGGGUCUCUGGACAGUUCCUGACGCUGAGGUGCGAAAGCGUGGGGAGCAAACAGG
RNAcentral lists this ribosomal RNA (253 nucleotides) under uncultured bacterium. Its description in RNAcentral is "partial 16S ribosomal RNA". It matches the Rfam family "Bacterial small subunit ribosomal RNA", at positions 524 to 776 of the family's 1533-position model. The record is from RNAcentral.